RNAcentral lists this ribosomal RNA (484 nucleotides) under uncultured bacterium. Its description in RNAcentral is "partial 16S ribosomal RNA". It matches the Rfam family "Bacterial small subunit ribosomal RNA", at positions 30 to 507 of the family's 1533-position model. The record is from RNAcentral.
AUUGAACGCUGGCGGCAGGCCUAACACAUGCAAGUCGAGCGGAUGAAGGGAGCUUGCUCCUGGAUUCAGCGGCGGACGGGUGAGUAAUGCCUAGGAAUCUGCCUGGUAGUGGGGGAUAACGUUCGUAAACGGGCGCUAAUACCGCAUACGUCCUGAGUGAGAAAGUGGGGGAUCUUCGGACCUCACGCUAUCAGAUGAGCCUAGGUCGGAUUAGCUAGUUGGUGGGGUAAAGGCCUACCAAGGCGACGAUCCGUAACUGGUCUGAGAGGAUGAUCAGUCACACUGGAACUGAGACACGGUCCAGACUCCUACGGGAGGCAGCAGUGGGGAAUAUUGGACAAUGGGCGAAAGCCUGAUCCAGCCAUGCCGCGUGUGUGAAGAAGGUCUUCGGAUUGUAAAGCACUUUAAGUUGGGAGGAAGGGCAGUAAGUUAAUACCUUGCUGUUUUGACGUUACCAACAGAAAAAGCACCGGCUAACUUCGUG